Molecule: ribosomal RNA, 759 nt
Filed under: Parahaemophilus parainfluenzae
Lineage: Bacteria; Pseudomonadati; Pseudomonadota; Gammaproteobacteria; Pasteurellales; Pasteurellaceae
Description: Haemophilus parainfluenzae bacterial SSU rRNA
Rfam family: Bacterial small subunit ribosomal RNA
Source: RNAcentral
AUUGAACGCUGGCGGCAGGCUUAACACAUGCAAGUCGAACGGUAACAUAAAGAAGCUUGCUUCUUUGAUGACGAGUGGCGGACGGGUGAGUAAUGCUUGGGAAUCUAGCUUAUGGAGGGGGAUAACUACGGGAAACUGUAGCUAAUACCGCGUAGAAUCGAGAGAUGAAAGUGUGGGACCUUCGGGCCACAUGCCAUAGGAUGAGCCCAAGUGGGAUUAGGUAGUUGGUGAGGUAAAGGCUCACCAAGCCGACGAUCUCUAGCUGGUCUGAGAGGAUGACCAGCCACACUGGGACUGAGACACGGCCCAGACUCCUACGGGAGGCAGCAGUGGGGAAUAUUGCGCAAUGGGGGCAACCCUGACGCAGCCAUGCCGCGUGAAUGAAGAAGGCCUUCGGGUUGUAAAGUUCUUUCGGUAGCGAGGAAGGCAUUUAGUUUAAUAGACUAGGUGAUUGACGUUAACUACAGAAGAAGCACCGGCUAACUCCGUGCCAGCAGCCGCGGUAAUACGGAGGGUGCGAGCGUUAAUCGGAAUAACUGGGCGUAAAGGGCACGCAGGCGGUGACUUAAGUGAGGUGUGAAAGCCCCGGGCUUAACCUGGGAAUUGCAUUUCAUACUGGGUCGCUAGAGUACUUUAGGGAGGGGUAGAAUUCCACGUGUAGCGGUGAAAUGCGUAGAGAUGUGGAGGAAUACCGAAGGCGAAGGCAGCCCCUUGGGAAUGUACUGACGCUCAUGUGCAAAAGCGUGGGGAGCAAACAGG